This 2421-nucleotide ribosomal RNA is filed under the name Escherichia coli. RNAcentral's name for it is "partial 23S ribosomal RNA". It matches the Rfam family "Bacterial large subunit ribosomal RNA", at positions 514 to 2915 of the family's 2925-position model. Lineage: Bacteria; Pseudomonadati; Pseudomonadota; Gammaproteobacteria; Enterobacterales; Enterobacteriaceae. The record is from RNAcentral.
GCGAAAAGAACCCCGGCGAGGGGAGUGAAAAAGAACCUGAAACCGUGUACGUACAAGCAGUGGGAGCACGCUUAGGCGUGUGACUGCGUACCUUUUGUAUAAUGGGUCAGCGACUUAUAUUCUGUAGCAAGGUUAACCGAAUAGGGGAGCCGAAGGGAAACCGAGUCUUAACUGGGCGUUAAGUUGCAGGGUAUAGACCCGAAACCCGGUGAUCUAGCCAUGGGCAGGUUGAAGGUUGGGUAACACUAACUGGAGGACCGAACCGACUAAUGUUGAAAAAUUAGCGGAUGACUUGUGGCUGGGGGUGAAAGGCCAAUCAAACCGGGAGAUAGCUGGUUCUCCCCGAAAGCUAUUUAGGUAGCGCCUCGUGAAUUCAUCUCCGGGGGUAGAGCACUGUUUCGGCAAGGGGGUCAUCCCGACUUACCAACCCGAUGCAAACUGCGAAUACCGGAGAAUGUUAUCACGGGAGACACACGGCGGGUGCUAACGUCCGUCGUGAAGAGGGAAACAACCCAGACCGCCAGCUAAGGUCCCAAAGUCAUGGUUAAGUGGGAAACGAUGUGGGAAGGCCCAGACAGCCAGGAUGUUGGCUUAGAAGCAGCCAUCAUUUAAAGAAAGCGUAAUAGCUCACUGGUCGAGUCGGCCUGCGCGGAAGAUGUAACGGGGCUAAACCAUGCACCGAAGCUGCGGCAGCGACGCUUAUGCGUUGUUGGGUAGGGGAGCGUUCUGUAAGCCUGUGAAGGUGUGCUGUGAGGCAUGCUGGAGGUAUCAGAAGUGCGAAUGCUGACAUAAGUAACGAUAAAGCGGGUGAAAAGCCCGCUCGCCGGAAGACCAAGGGUUCCUGUCCAACGUUAAUCGGGGCAGGGUGAGUCGACCCCUAAGGCGAGGCCGAAAGGCGUAGUCGAUGGGAAACAGGUUAAUAUUCCUGUACUUGGUGUUACUGCGAAGGGGGGACGGAGAAGGCUAUGUUGGCCGGGCGACGGUUGUCCCGGUUUAAGCGUGUAGGCUGGUUUUCCAGGCAAAUCCGGAAAAUCAAGGCUGAGGCGUGAUGACGAGGCACUACGGUGCUGAAGCAACAAAUGCCCUGCUUCCAGGAAAAGCCUCUAAGCAUCAGGUAACAUCAAAUCGUACCCCAAACCGACACAGGUGGUCAGGUAGAGAAUACCAAGGCGCUUGAGAGAACUCGGGUGAAGGAACUAGGCAAAAUGGUGCCGUAACUUCGGGAGAAGGCACGCUGAUAUGUAGGUGAAGUCCCUCGCGGAUGGAGCUGAAAUCAGUCGAAGAUACCAGCUGGCUGCAACUGUUUAUUAAAAACACAGCACUGUGCAAACACGAAAGUGGACGUAUACGGUGUGACGCCUGCCCGGUGCCGGAAGGUUAAUUGAUGGGGUCAGCGCAAGCGAAGCUCUUGAUCGAAGCCCCGGUAAACGGCGGCCGUAACUAUAACGGUCCUAAGGUAGCGAAAUUCCUUGUCGGGUAAGUUCCGACCUGCACGAAUGGCGUAAUGAUGGCCAGGCUGUCUCCACCCGAGACUCAGUGAAAUUGAACUCGCUGUGAAGAUGCAGUGUACCCGCGGCAAGACGGAAAGACCCCGUGAACCUUUACUAUAGCUUGACACUGAACAUUGAGCCUUGAUGUGUAGGAUAGGUGGGAGGCUUAGAAGUGUGGACGCCAGUCUGCAUGGAGCCGACCUUGAAAUACCACCCUUUAAUGUUUGAUGUUCUAACGUUGACCCGUAAUCCGGGUUGCGGACAGUGUCUGGUGGGUAGUUUGACUGGGGCGGUCUCCUCCUAAAGAGUAACGGAGGAGCACGAAGGUUGGCUAAUCCUGGUCGGACAUCAGGAGGUUAGUGCAAUGGCAUAAGCCAGCUUGACUGCGAGCGUGACGGCGCGAGCAGGUGCGAAAGCAGGUCAUAGUGAUCCGGUGGUUCUGAAUGGAAGGGCCAUCGCUCAACGGAUAAAAGGUACUCCGGGGAUAACAGGCUGAUACCGCCCAAGAGUUCAUAUCGACGGCGGUGUUUGGCACCUCGAUGUCGGCUCAUCACAUCCUGGGGCUGAAGUAGGUCCCAAGGGUAUGGCUGUUCGCCAUUUAAAGUGGUACGCGAGCUGGGUUUAGAACGUCGUGAGACAGUUCGGUCCCUAUCUGCCGUGGGCGCUGGAGAACUGAGGGGGGCUGCUCCUAGUACGAGAGGACCGGAGUGGACGCAUCACUGGUGUUCGGGUUGUCAUGCCAAUGGCACUGCCCGGUAGCUAAAUGCGGAAGAGAUAAGUGCUGAAAGCAUCUAAGCACGAAACUUGCCCCGAGAUGAGUUCUCCCUGACCCUUUAAGGGUCCUGAAGGAACGUUGAAGACGACGACGUUGAUAGGCCGGGUGUGUAAGCGCAGCGAUGCGUUGAGCUAACCGGUACUAAUGAACCGUGAG